This 87-nucleotide transfer RNA is filed under the name Planctomycetota bacterium. Its description in RNAcentral is "Planctomycetes bacterium (groundwater metagenome) tRNA-Leu". It matches the Rfam family "tRNA". Rfam says of the family: Transfer RNA (tRNA) molecules are approximately 80 nucleotides in length. Their secondary structure includes four short double-helical elements and three loops (D, anti-codon, and T loops). The record is from RNAcentral. Lineage: Bacteria; Pseudomonadati; Planctomycetota.
GGUUCCGUGGCGCAACCAGAAGACGCAAUCGCCUCAGAAGCGAUCGCCCUCCUCCGGGGCAUGCAGGUGCAAAUCCUGCCGGAACCG